CGCUUGCUCGGACUUUUACGGUAGGCUCGGAUGUUCUGCAAGCUGCAAGCCAUUUUUGAAUGUAAUAGCGUCUGUGUAUUAAUGACAGUCCCAACGCAGAGGCCGGAGGGGAAGGGCCGAAAACCACGAGGUGCCGGAGCGCCAAGUGGCGUGCAAGAAGAAACAGGCGGAUUUGAAACGUUGGUGACUGGUGAUGAAACAAGAGCACAGUCUGUUUCGGAACCGAAACUCGAAACAAUAGCCUGCUUGGUCGACUAGUUGCCAACAUAAGAUGAUGGGCCGUUUAAAUGGCACAUUGUAACUGGCCACGCGGUUGGGCACAUUCACGCACGAUUUGCAGUAGUAGUACGCUGAUGGCAGUGCGGCGCAUAUCCAAUUCAUACAGGCUGGUUUUGCUUCCAAGCUGUGUCCAUUUCAACCUCAUUCUGAAUAAAUGUGCUAGAAGCACUCGCACAUGGCGAAGCGCGCUACGGUCUAGCGCCUGAGUGAGGCGGGCUUUUACGGUUAGCGUUGCAGUCAUUACAGGGACAGGCAUAUUUCACUUAAAAUUAUUGAAAAAAAGAUUUCACACUUACCGCUGCACUGUUCUUGCUCAAAUUUCCCAGAAAGAUUGCAUUUUGGAGUUUACGUCAUUCAUUGUAGCACUUGGCACAGUUAAUUGCGUGGUCUUAAGAAAAAAAUGCAAAGUAGCCUUCGUUUGUGGGAAUGCAAGCCGUUGUCGGGACGGAGCUAGCAUAAAGUUGCGUCGCUGCCUGCUGGCAGCUGCGGAAAGCAGCCAUUCAAGUAGAGUUUCUGCCUGUUCCAGAGUAGCGGGAAGCGUGUGGAAACACUCCUUAAACAGCUACUUUCUGCUGCCGCCGGCAGGUGGAGAAACAAGUUUGUGCUUGCUCCAUCUUGGCAGCAGCUUGCAUCCCCAUAAACGAAAGAAAGUUUGCCUGGUCUUUUAAGAAAAAAAUGCAAACGGGACCAAGUGUUACAUUGAAUGACGUAGACUCCAAAAGGCUAUCUUUCUGUGAAAUUUGAGCAAGCACAGUGCAGCGGUAAGCGCAAAAGCUUUUUUAGAAAAUUUUAGGGGAAAUAUGCAUGUCCCGGCAUAUCAAGGAAUAUUUCUCAGCACGAACGUCUUCUGACAUUCAUGUGCAAAAAUGUAAUUAAACUUGUGCAUUCAACACGGCCUUGGUGACGCAAAUGGGUAAAUUCCCUCUUACCACGAUCUCAAGAAACUGUCUAAAACGUGUGGAGAUUUCAGAUUAGCUUCGGUCAGGCAUAUUUUGGGUUUUGAAUUAUUGAUAUAUGAAACUUACUUCACAAUCCCCUUCGUGUUUGAUACAUCCAGGAUUGCCUGUGUAUACGUAGUGCAUCAUGUGUGGUAAGCAGAACUUGUAAAACAAUACAUGACUCUAUGUACCAUUAACUUCAUAUGUUGCACCCAUAAUAUAUGAUUUACCCGUUGGGCAUACCAUGCUGUAGGUGUAACCAAACUUGUUCACUACGAAAUGCAUGCAGUGAUAAGUUUCUGCAACAGCACUUGCUGCAAGGCUUGCACAGCGCUUUGUACAUUCACAACCUAAGCAUUGUGUUUCACAGAUUGGAAGCAGUGGGAUAUAUGAAAACAUUGCUUUAAUAAACAUAAUAAGAACUCCAUAUGUUAUGAGCUCUAAUACAGUCAAACCUCGACAUAAUGAACCUCAAUUUAAUGAAAUUCGGGAUGUAACACACUGUUUUCAUUUACCGAUCUUAGUUCCUUUGAAAACCGUGUAUAUUUUUGAAUAAUUUUUUUGCAAUUUAACUUGUUCUUUCGUGACAUGGUUUCAAUUAACAAAAUUGUUGGCCAUUUAAAGCAUGUACUUGGAGCCUGCAUGGCUCGUAAAUCUAGCAAAAAACAAAAUAUGUCGGCCUAGGCAUAAAGGUAUUUGCAAGCGUCCUUCCGCAUGAAAAGUUUGAGCUGCAAGAACACUAUCGAGGAUCCAGGAGGCGGUAUGCAGGAAACACCACUGCACCAUUUGUUGCGUUGAUGAAGAACUUGCAGAGGCUGCGGGGCGCACGGCAGCUCCGAGAAACGCAAGAGCUGACGAUUCCUUCAGUGCAGGAGCGGUGAGCACGCUUGCAGUAACGUGAUCAAGCACUCGCUAGGGAGGGUACGCGAGCCUAUCUGACUUUUCCCACUGAUGCGCAUAUCUCCUCUACCCUGCCGUGCUUGGCAAUCCAUAUGUGGGCCAUGCGCUGUAUCUUGGAGGUAAUCUGCAGCAAGUGCACAGGGCAAUUGGAAGUGGCUGGUGCCUCGAUGUGCACUAUGCUCUUGCGUAUCUAGUGUUGGCGGAUGUGUACUAAUCUCAAGUUUCUGAGAUAAGACACGGUGUGAAGGGUUCGCUUGCAUUGCGACAGCGAGUGUUCGUGGUCAUCAAGUGAGAUCUCGUCAUGUUUACCUGAGCGCACGUGACACGGAUAAAACUAUGAAGCAUACUUAGCGUAGUUGUCUCUUUGCUGUCGCUGCAUGAAUGCUCCGCCUUUCUGGCGAAAAAACAACAUUUCUUUUUCUGAGGCCGAAUGUUUGUAUAUUUUUAUCCUUUUGUUUUUAAUUUCGGGGUGCCAUCUGAUGACGGCUGUGGUAACUAAGUGCGGUCAGCCAUGGCGUCCAAGAUCUAUGGCGCCGCGCGAUGCAACACACGCAAAUCUCGGACACCGUGCACCACGCCGAUGCAUUACGUACAGCGCAAUCUGCCCCGCAUGCGCUGGCGCUCAUAACCAUGCUAUUUUGGCACGACCGUGCGAUUUGAUUACUGACAAGAUACUAUCCACUAGGAAUGUUCUAGGAAAUUGGGAUAUUAUUUUUAUGGCUGCAACUUUAAAACCUUGCAUUAACAAAAUUUGCAAUUUAACAAAGUUUUUUGCUGCUAGCACAACUUCGUUAUAUUGAGGUUUGACUAUACAAGACAAUUGGUGCAAAUCAGUUUACCAUGAAAUGGGCAGAUCGAUGCAUUUAAGUAUGUACUGGUUGCUAAGCUCCUGCAGCAGUGCCAGCUAAGUAUCAGAAUACAGAACUAUGUUUUCUUGCAUUCGCCCCCCCCCCCUGCCUGAUUUUUUUCUUUUUUUAAAAAUAAAUAAUCUGAAAAUUGGGUUCUAGCUCUGCACUACACUUGACCUUCAGAAUGAGGUGGCUUGUGUGUUAUUCCACGCAAAGAUACUUUGUACAGACCUUACAACAGACAGGGUCCUUAAAAUCAUUUAGAAGCAUGAUGGCUAGAUGGCAUUCCACAUUUUGGUGGGGCCUUGGAUUUAAUUAUUUGAUUGGUAGCAGAGAACUUUGCGGAGUAGCCUAAUUCCGUAUUAAAUUACUGCUUAUCGCCAUCGUUUUCUUUUGCUCGGGAACUCUGUCUGCUGACAAUGUGCACUGCUCCCAUUGAGAGGGACAGUACCUUUUUUGUUUUGUGAGCAAGAGAUUCUCAUUGGGCACAUUUGCUUGGAGAAAAUAUAGAGAGGCAAGGCAUAGUGGUAACAAAGCUUUAUUGAUCGAUCUUAAGGUGCAAUCAAAGAGAGGCAACCUUGCAGGUCAAUCUCUCAGCAUCACUGAGCAUACAGGCAUAACUAAGCAUGUUGCCGUCACUCUUCAGGCCACUUAAGUUUGAGCGUUUGGGACUUUUGUAAAAGUAAAGUUUGCCUGUAGGUGAUUGAUGGCUGGUUCAGCCUAGUUUGGAAAAUAAAAAAUUUGUUUUGAGAAUCGGAGCCAGACAAGUACAUUUGUCAGCUGGCACAUGUGCUGCUGAGCACAUGUGCCAGAAUGUGUCUCCACUUGUUGCCAAGUUGCAUGACUGUCAAAAACAAGCUGUACUGGAAAAAUUAAGGUGAAGUUUCUGCAUACUUGCCAUACCAAGAAGGUACUUGGAAAUAACUUUUUAACUUUUAGAAUAUGGCUGGACAAAAUGCCGGACAUAAGAUGCAGUAAUGAUCACUUCUUGUUAGUAAACUUGCAAAGAGCACAAUAAUUGUGUCUGACCUGCUUGUGUGGUGACGAUUCAGGUGUUCUACUGACUUAAGUAUGUGUUGAGGCUGUGGCUGCACUUUGCUUAUCUGCAAGAAAUGUUUUGUUGAUUUCUAAUAGCAUCAGUGCGUAUUACCUAGUAAGCUGAGCCCCUGUGAAUUGUUUCUGCAGUAUCGUAACUGCAGUAAUGAGAGUCAGUUUGCACAGCUUGUUCACCACUUUAAAGGGCCCCCCCAGAACACAUUAUAACAUGGUAAAUAAUCUUCCAUAUUUGCAAGGCAAUGCUGCCCUUCACAUCUAAGCAAAAUGUUAUCAUUAAACGUCCAACUAAAACAGCGACUUUGCUUGAAAAGGUGCCUGCUGUUUUCUUUCAUCAUUUUUAAAACCCUCUCUUCUUGUUUUUCCUUUACGCUUACGUAAUGGUAAACAUGGUGCCUACUGCACAGAUUUUGUUAGCUAAACAUUACGACUAAGCAGUGACAUCGGCAAUAGUUGAGAAAUGUUAUCGUUGAUGGGGUGGUGGUUCCAUCUUGUGGCAGAUAUUGACACCACUCUGCCAAUAUAAUGGUCUCCUAGAUGGGGAGCUCAAGGAAGGGUCCUAGCCAUACGAUCUGUAAGUCAUGUCAGUACAAAAGCUUUGGUGCAAUUGUUUCACAUCAGCAACAUUUGAUUGCCAGUAGCUCUGUUACUACAAGGCAUAGUGAAAGCAACCUUUUCUUGGAAAAUGUUAGUGAGGGGAUGUCCUUGAGUAUCAGACGCAUUCCAUGCCUUUUCAGAAAAUUGCCACAGGGCCCCUUUAAAGCCAACUGCAGUUGCAUGCAUAGUAUCUACAGCCCUCACAACUGUUAAUGAAUAGCACUCAGUUGAUUGUGUGGCCUUUUGUUUAGAGCAACAUCUCAUGGUAACUCUACCAUGAUUGACAAAUAACUCACUUUAAACUGCAUUAGCUGGCUCUGGCAGAUCAUUUGUAAGCAGCGUUAUGUUUCUAAUGGUGACUGUAUUGCCAAUAAAGUCCAAGUGGCAUGCUGAAGUGUUGUGUUACAAACAGCUGUGCGACCUGUAUGUCCUCAUAUACCAUAUAAUUUGAUUUCCCGAACUGGAACGGUGAAUUUGGUGUGCAGAAUUGCAAGCCUAGCACAACUACACUUUCUGCUACGAAAGGACGAGCUGAGUACAGAACGUUUGUGUCUUUCUACUCGAAAGUAUACGCUUGAUAGAGCUGCCAUGGUCUUGAGGCAAACACAAGUGAAAGACACAAGCAUUUUUCCAUGUCAUUUAUACUUUUUGUGUGCAGUGGUGGGUGUGCGUUGUUAUUUGUUUUUAUUUCUUUCCGUACAUGUUUUAUGAGAUGUUGGCAUUGCAGAUAUGCUGUGGGUUGUCUCAAAAGAGAAAGCUGUAUUUCGAGUCCCGAUUAACCUAACCUACUAACCUAUAGAAUCAUGCCGAGCACAAGUGCCUUUCAGCACCUCAGCAUAGCAGUAGUUGCAUAAUGAGUCGGCGGUUGUUCCUGCCUGUGGUAUACUUGCAGCGUCAUGAAUAUACUAGUAUUGGUUUCCCAUCAGUGUGCUUGUCACCACCUGCACAAUAAUUGUUUCCUGGAUUCCUUCACGGUGGCUGCAUUUCUGGUGAGGCAUAGUUGCAACAUGUAGUGGUGUGCUAAACUGAGUGAAAUUACAUUCUCUUGCGACCCCAGGCAGUUACCAUUGCCUGCAGUGGAUUUGCCUUCUCGGUGCAUUUUGAAACACAUUGUUGCAGUACGCAGAGCCCUUGCAAUUAGUGCCAUAGUUUUUUACCAUGUAAUCCUUUUUUCCAUUUAGUGUGCAAAAAUGAGCAUGUAGUGAAGCGUGUCAUCUGUCCUCUAUACAUGCAACCAUUCCUCGUGUGCAUGAUGGCUUUGAGGCAGCUGUAUACAAGUCACUAUUUCUGAUCUUGAGCUGGCAUAAUACACAGGGCUUAACCCGAAUUCAGCAUCAGAUUGAGUGAGAUGUUCACUUAACACACAGCCUCGAGGGUGCUUUUCGUAAAUGCAGUGGCUUUAAUAUUCGGACCAGCAGUGCUUUGAAAAUUCUUUCAUGCAUACCGCUGGAACUCUUAGGCACAGCCCUGUUGCAUCUUUCAUUUUUUACUUUUUGUGCUAUGGCACAUUCGCCUCUACUGUUUGCCUGCCUUUUAUUGGGUUCAAAUAUGGAACGGAACAGUUAAGCCAGCAGACAGGUGUUUUUGCUUGUCUAUGGAGUCACCCUGCCACUGUUGUCUACCCUGUCCCCUUUGCCAUUUCUACGUGCACCGGUCUACUUGAGUGACUGAAUUUCCUUAAAGUUUUUUUUUUUUUUUUCGCAGGCCAUAGUUUUUGUGCACAAGGGCAGGUUAAAGGAGGCACUGGUGCCAAAUGUGUUAUGUAAAACAGAAUGAAAAAUCAGACCUCUGUGCAAUGUAUGCACACCAUUUAUCUAGCAGUGAAUACCUUUAAUUUUUUUAAAUUUUACCUGAAUGCAGAACAGUGGUAAUAAUGUUGCGUUUCACUCUACUAGAUAAUUUUAAUAAAUUUAGGUUUUCGUUUUAUGUGUCUGCCACUGAGUGUAAUUAAUGGUGAAGAUAGGCCUGUCAUACAUUUCGGAAAAGAUGCUAAAUUUUUGUGACUGUCCAUGUUCAGAAAGCAGAGAGAGCCAGAUUCUCCAUGCUCCCGUCUGUCGCACUUAAAAAAAAAGUCAUUUCACUGUCUCAUCGGUUGUGCACGUAGCUGCAAGCUCAUGAAGAGCAGGGUGAGCUGUGUUUUUCACUAUUGGCUUUGCUCUGAAAAUUAAUGUCCUAAUUAAGCUAUCGUUCUAUGAAAAACACUCACGUGAACUUUAGCACUAUCAGUGCCAGCGACGAAGUGGCUGAAUGUGCCGUCACAGUGAGUCAGGUUGCAUUACAAGGUUUGUGGCCCAAAGCAACGAGUUGCAUAUGAGAGACCCUGGUGAGGGGCUGCAGAUUAAUUUCAGCCACCUAGUUUUUUGUGACGUGCGUGCACACACGUUAUUGCACACUGCCUCCAUCAGAAUGCGGCCACCGCAGUUGGGAAUAAAACCCGUGACCUUGUGUUGUUUGUGUUGAGCUCAGCUGUAUAUUUUAAGGAAUUGCAGACACUGUUUGAGAUGUGACAUCAUGCAACCUUUAACACUGCGCAUGUGCCGUUAACAUGCACCAUAGGCCGCAUUUCUGUGAUGAUGCAACACUUAGGGACAUAAGUGGGAUAGGAAAAGCUUGAAUUUGCCGAGUACAGACUUGUCCAUGCUGUUCACAGGAACACGGCUAUUUGCCUUCACCAAAGUAUUUUGUACCACGUACAUGUGUACUAGGUUAUAGAAUAUGCAUUGACAUUAACAGUGUCUUCAUUGUUAGAACAAUUAAUGUUUGUCUGUUAAACUGAGUGUUAUGAUUGUUUUGUCUUUUGGCGUGAACACAGAUGUUUGAUAAGUCACUCAGCCUAUCCAUUGGCUGCAAUUCUAUGAAUUCUGAAGUUUUAUUCUAUGUACGUUAUGUGAAGUUAACUUAAAGGAUUGCUUUUGUUUUAGUGUAAUGGUUGUUAUAAUUAGAACUAAUUGAAACCGCUUGACACAUCCCCUUCUACGCUCAAUGCAGAAAAAAUUGCGCAAUGAGCUGUAUAUUUUUGUGCCGACUGACCCAAUGGAUGGAAGCAAACACUGCCACGUUCACGCCUGGGGACAUCUGGGUAGUGUGCCUAAUGUUUUACUUUUGCCAAGGUGCCAUGAUUUGUAGUUGCCAUUGUGCAUGUAGCUUCGUGUAUUUAUUGCACAGCUGCUGUGGGUGAGUGUGAUGGUACCGUGUACAUACUGUGUAUAUACAUACCCGUACAAGUCUUGCAUUACCCUCAUCCUGGAGCCUGCAUUUUUUUCAGAGGCUGAAUAAAGACUUAUUUUCCUAGAA
Dermacentor silvarum is the source of this 7909-nucleotide long non-coding RNA. RefSeq lists it as uncharacterized. Lineage: Eukaryota; Metazoa; Arthropoda; Arachnida; Ixodida; Ixodidae. The transcript is spliced from 2 exons. The record is from RefSeq and is a predicted model, not a curated record.